RNAcentral lists this long non-coding RNA (493 nucleotides) under Brassica napus (rape). RNAcentral's name for it is "long non-coding RNA (BNAP_LNC009491)". Lineage: Eukaryota; Viridiplantae; Streptophyta; Magnoliopsida; Brassicales; Brassicaceae. The record is from RNAcentral.
UGAAGCCAAGAAGGGUAGGUGUGAAACUUUUGCUUCUUGCCACUUCAGUCUAGCUUGGGCACAGCAUAGCACUCUGUCUAAUCUCUUUGCGACGAAGUUAUUCUCAGUCUUACCCCUCUUCCAUGUAAACUGAUUGCCAUUAAAACUCAUAUCAAUCAAUGACAUGUUAUUAAUCCAGUCACCAAAUGUUAAAGAAUCCUCAGACAAUCUUCCAUUCCCACCACUCCUCUCGUCUAACCUCAUAAUCGUGUUGAAAUCCCCACCAACGAACACCGGGCCAACAACAUCACGUAUCACAUCUUCCAAUGCAGCCCAGAGACCACUCCUACGAUUUGGAGAAGGAGCAGCAUACACUACAAUCAGAUUAAUCACCUCUGUUCUACUUCCUAUUCUAGCGUGGAUAUACUGAUCAGAGGACUUCACUACUUCAAGCUCCCCUACUUCCUCUCUCCAUAACAGCCACAAACUCCACUCUUGCCACACGCAUCCACCC